AGCUUUAUAGUCAAUUAUGAUAUUAAAUUGCAAAUUUAAUGGUUUAUAUAAAAUUUUAAGGCUU
RNAcentral lists this transfer RNA (64 nucleotides) under Colasposoma dauricum. RNAcentral's name for it is "tRNA-Cys". Lineage: Eukaryota; Metazoa; Arthropoda; Insecta; Coleoptera; Chrysomelidae. The record is from RNAcentral.